This 1164-nucleotide ribosomal RNA is filed under the name Planctomycetota bacterium. RNAcentral describes it as "partial 23S ribosomal RNA". It matches the Rfam family "Bacterial large subunit ribosomal RNA", at positions 1 to 1121 of the family's 2925-position model. Lineage: Bacteria; Pseudomonadati; Planctomycetota. The record is from RNAcentral.
GGUUAAGUUACAAAGUGUGUACGGUGGAUGCCUUGGCGUCCAGGGCCGAUGAAGGACGUGGCAUAGCUGCGAAAAGCUUCGGGGAGCCGCUAAGUAGGCUGUGAGCCGGAGAUGUCCGAGAUCGGGAAACCGAACGGGAAUCAUGUCCCGUUAGCGCGAGAGCGUAGGGAACGCAGGGAACUGAAACAUCUAAGUACCUGCAGGAAAGGAAAGAAACCUCGACUCCCUGAGUAGCGGCGAGCGAAAGGGGAAUAGCCUAAACCGGUGUAGUGCCAAGGGUGCGGCCGUUGCUGCACCGGUGUCGUGGGACCUGUAGAGCCAGCCGCAAGCGGCUCAGGGAGUUACAAAGUAUCUGUCUAGAGGAACGGCAUGGGAAGGCCGGCCGCAGAAGGUGAAAGCCCUGUAUUCGAAAGACAGAUACCUCCCGCAGUCAUCCCGAGUAGCGCCAGACACGUGAAACCUGGUGUGAAUCUGGGGGGACCACCCCCCAAGGCUAAGUACUUCUGGACGACCGAUAGCGUAAUAGUAGCGCGAGCGAAAGGUGAAAAGUACCCCGGUGAGGGGAGUGAAAUAGUACCUGAAACCAUACACAUACAAGCUGUCGGAGGCCUAUGGCCCCUCGGGGCAAUGGCUGACGGCGUGCCUUUUGCAUAAUGAUCCGGCGAGUUACUCUGUCUGGCAAGGUUAAGGGUCUCAGGCCCGAAGCCGAAGGGAAACCGAGUGUGAAUAGCGCGAAUAGAGUCAGGCGGAGUAGACCCGAAAGCGAGUGAUCUAUCCAUGGGCAGGCUGAAGCGGAUGUAACAGUCCGUGGAGGGCCGAACGGGUAUAGGUUGAAAACUGUUCCGAUGACCUGUGGAUAGGAGUGAAAGGCUAAUCAAACUCGCAGAUAGCUGGUUCUCCCCGAAAUAGCUUUCGGGCUAGCCUCUGGUAAUAGUCGACGGGGGUAGAGCUACUGAUUGGGAUAGGGGCCCGAUAGGGUACCCUACCCAACCAAACUCCGAAUACCGUUGACCGUAUCCAGGGAGUCAGACUAUGGGCGAUAAGGUCCGUGGUCGAGAGGGAAACAACCCAGACCGCCAGCUAAGGUCCCAAAUGUGUGCUAAGUGCAGAGAAGGAAGUGAGUCCUCUAGGACAGCCAGGAUGUUGGCUUAGAAGCAGCCAUCA